GACGUAGGGCGCGAGCGUUGUCCGGAUUUAUUGGGCGUAAAGAGCUCGUAGGCGGCUUGUCGCGUCGUCCGUGAAAACCCCGGGGCUCAACCCCGGGCUUGCGGUCGAUACGGGCAGGCUGGAGUUCGGUAGGGGAGACUGGAAUUUACGGUGUAGCGGUGAAAUGCGUAGAUAUCGUAAGGAAGACCAGUGACGAAGGCGGGUCUCUGGACAGUUCCUGACGCUGAGGCACGAAGGUCAGGGGAGCAAACGGG
RNAcentral lists this ribosomal RNA (254 nucleotides) under uncultured bacterium. RNAcentral describes it as "partial 16S ribosomal RNA". It matches the Rfam family "Bacterial small subunit ribosomal RNA", at positions 524 to 776 of the family's 1533-position model. The record is from RNAcentral.